This 1018-nucleotide long non-coding RNA is filed under the name Sus scrofa (pig). RNAcentral describes it as "lncRNA (ENSSSCG00070013217.1)". The record is from RNAcentral. Lineage: Eukaryota; Metazoa; Chordata; Mammalia; Artiodactyla; Suidae.
CAUCACACCAUCACCAUCACCACAUCACAUCACCAUCUCACAUCACCAUCACCAUCAUCACCAUCAUCACCAUCACCAUCUCACCAUCACCAUCGUCACCAUCACCACCACCAUCACCACCAUCACCAUCACCACCAUCACCAUCACCACCAUCUCACCAUCACCAUCAUCACCAUCACCAGCAUCACCAUCACACCAUCACCACCACCAUCACCAUCACCACCAUCUUCACCAUCACCACCACCAUCAUCACCAUCAUCACCAUCACCAUCAUCACCAUCACCACCAUCACCACCCACCAUCACCAUCACCACCAUCUCACCAUCACCACCACCAUCAUCACCAUCACCAUCACACAUCACCAUCAUCACCAUCACCAUCGUCACCAUCAUCACCAUCACCAUCAUCACCAUCACAUUCACCAUCAUCACUCACCAUCAUCACCAUCACCACCAUCACUCACCAUCACCAUCACCAUCACCACCAUCACCAUCACCAUCAUCACCAUCACCAUUGUCACCAUCACCAUCGUCACCAUCACCACCACCAUCACCACCAUCACCAUCAUCACCAUCUUCACCAUCACCAUCAUUACCAUCACCAUCAUCACCAUCACCAUCAUCACCAUCACCAUCAUCACCAUCACCAUCGUCACCAUCAUCACCAUCACCAUCAUCACCAUCAUCACUAUCACCAUCAUCAGCAUCACCAUCAUCACCACCAUCACCAUCACCAUCACCACAAUCAUCACCAUCACCAGCAUCACCAUCAUCACCAUCACCAUCACCAUCAUCACCACCAUCACCAUCACCAUCACCAUCAUCAGCAUCACCACCACCAUCACCAUCACCAUCACCACCAUCAUCACCAUCACCAUCACCACCGUCACCAUCGUCACCGUCACCGUCACCGUCGUCACCAUCACCAUCAUCACCAUCAUCGUCACUCUGCUGAUGAAGAGACUUGUUUUAUUCAAUAAAAAUUUACACAGAUUCCCACCGUGGUACAGUGAGUUAAG